Molecule: long non-coding RNA, 1098 nt
Filed under: Numida meleagris (helmeted guineafowl)
Lineage: Eukaryota; Metazoa; Chordata; Aves; Galliformes; Numididae
Description: lncRNA (ENSNMEG00000020706.1)
Source: RNAcentral
AAAACUUCACAGUUCCUAUAUAGGUGACAGUGCUGUGUUUCUUUGCAGUAACUUCUGAUUCUCCAUAUAGUUUACAUACUGGGAAAAGGAAGUACAGCAAAUAACAAUAGCUUAAAUUAUGAGUAAACAUUAGAGCUGGGAAAAUUUUUCAUUCAAAAAAUAUUUUGGAAAGGGAGCCUCUGUCAACAUUUGUUUGAAUUUCUAAGUAGCUUUCAAUCAUACUUGUGUUCUUUUUGCUUGUUUGCAGAAGGAACAAGUUUUGAUGGAGGGUAUCCCCAGAAGUGAAUUACUACACUGUUUGAACAACUGCUUGAAUUUGGCAUAAAACUUGUGGUAAAAGUGGGGGAAUACCAUCUCUUCACUUGUACUUACACGAAUGAUUGUGAACAUGGUUUAAUUUGGAAUUGGGUAUAGCUGAAUUGGACUUGAGCAGAGCACACUUCAUUUUGAUUUGAGAUCUAGGCAUUGCGUGAUUUUUUUAUUGGAAUGAAUUCGGAUGUGUUGAUUUUUUUGACUUGGGUAAAUUUCUAUAGACACGAAUAUUCUCGAGUCUCGCAGUUUUUCAGUCUUGCAACUGAAAUUCUCUUAAAUUUUAAAAAUUAACAAGUAAAACCAAAAUCGUUAAGAUUACUUUUAAAAAAUGUGGUAGUUAAAUGAUGUUUGUUCCCUGCUCAAUAUGUUUUACUGUCCUGCAGCCGCAGCAUGAUUACUAUUACCCAUCUCAGAGGUUUUAAGAAGUUGAGACAAACGUUAAACACACUUGCCACGUAAAUGAAACAGCAUUGGGGGGCCUUCUGUGAAAACUUGUUCCUUUCAUUCUACCUCUUUAAAUAGUAAAUAUUGUUGUAGCACUGUUCUGUGCAUAACAAAAUCAAUUAACUAACAUAGAGCUACCAUACGGCAAGUCAAAAAAGAAUGUUGGUCCACACGUGAUCCACAGCAGUGGCAGGAAUUGAAUGUUUGGGAUGACUAGGACAGGGUACCUUAACCACUCUGCCAUGAGAUGGGAGGAUGUUGCUGGUGAGAAAAGAAAAUUAAAACAAAAGAGGCUUACACUUGAAAACGUACUUCUGUGAGCAUACAAGUUUUUAACCUUCC